This is a long non-coding RNA of Schistocerca piceifrons (Central American locust), 1108 nucleotides long. RefSeq lists it as uncharacterized. The record is from RefSeq and is a predicted model, not a curated record. NCBI's taxonomy places the organism in Eukaryota, Metazoa, Arthropoda, Insecta, Orthoptera, Acrididae. The transcript is spliced from 3 exons.
CAGCCGAAGGCCAUCCUAGAGAGAAAACUGACUCUAAGCCGCGAGCAGCGCGGCGGAAGUCCUUAUCAGCGCUCAUUAAAAACCGGAAGUGCAUUUUGAUAGAAUUAAAUGAUAAGAGUGCUAUUUCUCCAUGAGAAUAACACAGACCAGAAGCGCGCAGUGACAACAGCAGAGCGCCACACGGUGACAUGCGUACAGCGCCAGAGACUAAGUCCCAAUCAAGGUCACACACUUUAACACGCGUACACUAACCAAUAAGGUAUUCUACAAAUGCAGUAGCGUCUUUUCGGUUAAGAUGUUAUAACCUCAAUAUAAUAAAAACCUCAAAGUCCUGCUCAGACGCACAGCUGUAGUGAAGAAUGAGAAGAAUUCAAGGCCUUCAUUGAAUUUUACAUUGAAGAUACGAAAUGUGGAGUUGAAGGCAUUCAGUUCUUCCAGAAUUACAUUUACAGAGGAGAAAAAUUGUUAAAGAACAUUCUAGACUUUCAUCUGCCAUGGAAGCACGGCAGUUAUGCAACAAAGAAAUGACUGAAUGGAGUAGUCCUCUUGUCCAUUCAUUGUUCAGUCUCUAUUACACGGUUGGCUGUGAUAGACGACCAUGCCAAGAGAAAGAAGAAACUGGGUACUGGUACCAUUACGUCAUUAUAGGAAACUUGCUUAUUAUUUUCUGGUACUUUUGUUUUACUUUUGAUUAUUUUUAGCCGUGAUGUAUUUAUCUAUUCAUCUGUAGAACUAUACACUUGCUAUGGAUGUUGUCAAUGCUUCACAUAAUGUUUCUUAUAUUUGGACAUAAAAAUUUCUAGGAUAAACACUUUUCAGAAACACUAAUCCUCGGCUUGACUAAUGAUUAGCCCCUGGUGACAUGUUUUGUAAAGUGCUUUGUUUCCAGAUCAAUUGUGCUAAGAAAGAAAGCAUUUGAAGUGGACUGUCACAUAGCAUGCAGUUUAUAGGUGCUAAAUACUAACAAUUUACUUAGUGACUUGCAUCUACUCAAUGUGUGUCACAAUUAUUCUACUACACUCUUUCAUUUCCAUUAAUUCACACAGGAAUUUUCAGUAACUACAACCUGUGUUUCAUUUGUAAACAUUGAAACAGUUUAUGACAGUUC